This 242-nucleotide long non-coding RNA is filed under the name Hordeum vulgare. RNAcentral's name for it is "long non-coding RNA (HVUL_LNC014778)". Lineage: Eukaryota; Viridiplantae; Streptophyta; Magnoliopsida; Poales; Poaceae. The record is from RNAcentral.
CACGUGUGUGGGAGGGAUCGCGAGGAGCAAGCAGGCAUGCAAAGUGCUCCUCCAUUCACACGCAUGCCAUGCACGCACUGAUCGCCCGCGCUUUUCUCUCCCACACCGAUCAACGCGCUCGCGCAACCUGCUCUCGGCCGAUCGCCCGGAUCACUGACGCCGUCGCCGUCGUGUCGCUCGUCCGUCCGUCCGGCCGUCGCCGGCCGUCCACGCAGUCCACCACAUCGCGUUGAUCCGUCCNN